This 100-nucleotide non-coding RNA is filed under the name unclassified sequences. Its description in RNAcentral is "c-di-GMP sequence". It matches the Rfam family "c-di-GMP-II-GAG riboswitch aptamer". The record is from Rfam by way of RNAcentral.
UAAACGUGGGGACGUAUUGAUCCGCGACUGGUAACACGGUCACCGCCGCAGCGAUGCGGAUGGUCGCGGGGAGCGAGUGGUGAGACCGACCCCUUGUCGU